Nicotiana attenuata is the source of this 752-nucleotide long non-coding RNA. RefSeq lists it as uncharacterized. NCBI's taxonomy places the organism in Eukaryota, Viridiplantae, Streptophyta, Magnoliopsida, Solanales, Solanaceae. The transcript is spliced from 2 exons. The record is from RefSeq and is a predicted model, not a curated record.
GUAAAAUAAUUGAAUAUUUUCAUGUAAAAUUCCCUCUCUCACCCAUUUCCUCCCUAUAAAUCUACCAACAAUCUUCCACUAAGAUAAACUUGAGGUAUUCAAUUCUAAUACAACUACAUAGACUCCAAUAAAUAAGAGAAAUCCGUGUAUAUAUUUUUUGCUUUUUCUUCUUUUUCUCCCAAUUGCUUUCUAUUAUUCCAACUGAUGGUCAUCCACAUCCAACCAUAGAAGGUGCCAUUAUCUUCGCCGGCAUCCAUAACUAGGUAAAGGCAACUUCUCUGAUCUCUUGUCUAGUUUUGACCUCCUUAAUAUUUCUACCUAAUAAAAGUUCCUAACAACAUUUACCAAGGCUCUAUUAGUUUCUAUAUAAGUGUUGAAUAGCACAAGGAGCAACUCCACACGUUUUUGCUGUGAAAAUCGUCUUUUGCUAUAAUUGAGGGCCUUUGAUUCAUGGCUUAAGGAAUGGAUUCUUGAUAUUAUUUUGAUGAGGAGGUAUAUGAAGGUGUAAAAAGUGUCUGGGAAGUUCGUAGAUAAGGGACGCUACAUUAGCACAGGAAGCAACAUGCUUGUCUUUUUUAGUUUACCAUUGUUCCCACAUUUCAAUUACUUUUUAUAUUUUAGGUAUUUCACUUUAUUUACCCAAUAAGUUUGCACUUACAUGUUUUCUUAGAAUAAUUACAUAUGUAUUAGUAUCUGAUUUUGUAUGGAUGUUUAGAUUACGUUUCUCUUUUAUUUUUGUGAGCACUAAAUAC